GAAUUUUGUAAUACCCUAUCUCAUCUCCAAAGGUGACUGCAAUUAUGAUCACUUCAUCCCUGAUGAAACUUAGUGGAAGACUAGCCAUACAACAUAGAGAGAAAAAACUGAACAAGGCUCAGCAGGGAACAAGGAAAGAAAAGAAAACAGUACAAGGUCCAUGCAGAGAUUUUACAUUUGGUCCAUCAACCAAUGAGGCUCAGCUGGAAGAGAAGAAUGAAAUAAAAAGGAAGAUUAAUAGGGAAACAUAUUAAGCUGCCACUUAUUCCUCCCCUCCAAACUCUUGACCACAUGUUUGAUUACUAAGAACUCAUUUCGAAGAUGCUGAUCCAGCUUUCUUGAAGAUUUUAUACAAUUGCACUUCUCUUGACCUAAAAUGAUUCAGAAGCUGAAGCUAAUAGACUAAUACAGCAAAGUGUUUCAUUGAAACAGCCAUACCACUCUUAUAUACAUACUUUUAUAGUUAGUAUUCGCUUGAAAUGAAUAGCAACACAAACCAGAAUGUAUAUCUAUAAAUUUUCUGCAGGUCAGUUUAGGCAGAAUUCCCUAAAGGGUUUUUUUUUUCCCCUUAAACAACACUUGGUCUUAAAGUUCAUCAAAUCAUUUGUUUGUUUGUUUGUUUAUCAAAUUUAUAUGCCACUUAUCUCAAGGUGAAGUAUCCCAGAAAGUGAUCUCUACAGUGCACAAUUGCUGUUGUUCCUAGACUUACACUGCUAUCUUCUGGGAGUUAUAAAUGCUAGUUUCAAAACCAA
Molecule: long non-coding RNA, 752 nt
Organism: Pantherophis guttatus
Lineage: Eukaryota; Metazoa; Chordata; Lepidosauria; Squamata; Colubridae
Source: RefSeq, a predicted model, not a curated record